This is a non-coding RNA of Nothoprocta perdicaria, 127 nucleotides long. Ensembl annotates it as small Cajal body-specific RNA 3. Lineage: Eukaryota; Metazoa; Chordata; Aves; Tinamiformes; Tinamidae. The record is from Ensembl.
ACUGGGACCGGCUGUGUGGUCAAACGAAGAGGUUUUUGUCCACUGUUGCCAGCUUCCUAGAGUGAAGUGGGGGUCUCUGUCUGCUUUAGGAGAGCCGGCCAGCGCAGAUCGUUCCCCUCCAGACAUG